AUGGAUAUGAGUCUUGACCCAGAGAGAACCCAGACAGUAAGAGGGACAGACGGAAGGACUCAAAGUUUUGGCAGGCUAACCACAGUCCUCCAUGGAGCUGAACAAUCUUCAAGUUGCCCGACUGUCCCAGUAUUCUCAUCUACCAGUGCCAAUCCACAAGGCAAAGUCGCCCUACCCUGCCCAUACUGUACCAACGCCCUGCAUUAUCUGAACCAGUGCACUAACUUCAGCCGGUUAACAACUGAGCAGCGGAGAGAUUGGGUUAAGAAAAACAGGUGGUGCUGGCGUUGUGGUCGUUGUCACCAGGCCGCACAGUGCAAACUAAAGGCCAGGUGCAAGAAUUGUGAUGGCAGACAUCUGGAAGCUCUCCACGACCUUAACAUUAGACCAGCCAUAGUGACACCAGCCACAGAGAACACAUCAUGCUUAGUGAGUACUGCCAAUGAAGUUCUCUAUCUGGAUAGGCCGUCCGGCAGCAGUCAGGUGCUCCUGAAGGUGACAAAGGUUGGGCUAAAUAUUGGAGAGCAGGCCAUAGAGACCUACGCGAUACUGGAUGAUGGGUCAGAGCGCACGGUGCUACUUCCAGCCGCCGCUAAGGAGCUUAAACUUAAAGGGGAGUCAGAGAACCUUGCUUUAAGGACAGUGCGCCAGGAUCUUAGGGUUCUACAUGGAAUGUCGGUCUCAUUCUCCAUUUCUCCUACCUGGCACCCCCAAAAGACUUACAGGAUCCGGAGAGCCUUUACUGCCGAUCAGUUGGGCCUGGCAGAGCAUUCACAACCGGUGAAGACUCUUCAGUGCAAAUAUAAACACCUGAGAGGACUUCCCUUGCAAACACUGGAAUGCAUUCACCCCAUGGUCCUCAUUGGGUCAGACUAUACGCACCUGAUCACCCCAGUAGAGCCGGUUCGUAUGGGUCCGCCUGGAGGACCAGCUGCUGUAAAGACCAAGUUGGGCUGGACUAUUCAGGGCCCAACCAAGAUCAUCCGACAGCAUCUUCAGCCACAGCAGUGUCUGCAUAUAUCCACACAGUCACCCUCUGCAGAGCUCCUUUAUCACGUGGAGAAGCUAUGGAAAAUGGACAUACUGCCGUACAGGAGUGAGAAGGUAGUGAUCCGCUCAAAGCAAGAUCAGGAGGCAGUUCGCAUGCUGGAAACCAGGACAGUGAGGGUGGAAGUUGACGGAGUCCAUCGCUACGCCACCCCCCUGCUUCGUGUUAAUAACAUGCCGCGUCUCCACGCCCCCAAAGAUGCUGUACUGGCGAGUCUGCGGAGCACUGAGAGACGUCUGAUGAAAGACCCAACACGAGCAUCAGCCUAUGCAGCAGAGAUCCUGAAAUUGGAACAGGCGGGGUACGUGAAGAAGGUAGCAGAGGAAGAGCUGGGUACAUCAAUAGAGUCCUGGUUUAUACCUCACCACAUGGUGAGUCAUAAUGGAAAAAACAGACUCGUAUUCAACUGCUCCUUCGUAUACAAGGGUUACAACCUAAAUGAGCUUCUACUGCCAGGCCCCACAUUGACAUCCAGCCUGCUAGCUGUCCUGUUGAGAUUCAGGGAGCAUUUUGUUGCUAUAAGCAGCGACAUAAAAGGCAUGUUCCAUCAGAUCAGGUUGCUGCCAGAAGACAGAUCCCUGCUUCGUUUCGUGUGGAGAUACUCCAUUGAAAUGUAG
Cyprinus carpio (common carp) is the source of this 1665-nucleotide long non-coding RNA. Lineage: Eukaryota; Metazoa; Chordata; Actinopteri; Cypriniformes; Cyprinidae. The record is from Ensembl.